ACCGCAGCCGGGUUCCAGCCCCCGUGCGAGCGCGGGAGAGAGUGGAGCCGAGAUUGUAGAAGGUCCAGUUGCGUUUUCCAGUCCCUAGGGCCAGAAGUCUUCACUACGUCCUGGGAAACGAAUCAGAGGAGCUGAAAAGAAAGAGAGAGUGAAUGGGAUCACAGGAUGUUGGACUGAUGGAGACCUCAGAGAUCAUCUGGGACCAUCCUCCACCUGUGGGAACUACUGACAAUUCUCUUCCCAUGCUGGGCUCCUUGCCCUUGGCCCUCCUUCAACUGCUGGUCCCUCUGUCCAGAUCACUCUCUGCCCCCCACCACCUCCACCUGGUUGAUUUGCACUGCAGCUUAAGUAUCCUUAUUUGGGCAAAGGCUUCCUUUAGUCCUGUUUUAACUAUCCCUCCAAUGCACUCCCAGCACAUCCAGUAUUCCCUGCAAUGUUAAUUGGCCAUUUUCACUCUACUACUUCCUAGAUAGUGCUUAGAAUUUCCACACAACCAUGCAUCCUGUAUAUCCUUUGAUGUUUUAGCAGAUAUGUGAUGUUACUUAAUUUAGUCUGAUUUUUAGUAUCUCAGUUUCUCCAUCUGAGUAUUUUUGUGUAAAUUGGGUACACAAUAAAC
This is a long non-coding RNA of Manis javanica (Malayan pangolin), 616 nucleotides long. RefSeq lists it as uncharacterized. NCBI's taxonomy places the organism in Eukaryota, Metazoa, Chordata, Mammalia, Pholidota, Manidae. The record is from RefSeq and is a predicted model, not a curated record.